This 537-nucleotide ribosomal RNA is filed under the name Meloidogyne incognita (southern root-knot nematode). RNAcentral describes it as "partial large subunit ribosomal RNA". It matches the Rfam family "Eukaryotic large subunit ribosomal RNA", at positions 462 to 892 of the family's 3401-position model. The record is from RNAcentral. Lineage: Eukaryota; Metazoa; Nematoda; Chromadorea; Rhabditida; Meloidogynidae.
GACAGAGGGAAUCAGCAUAAUUUUUUGUGGUGCAUUUACUUGAUUGGUGCUUGGGGAUGUUUGAGGCAGAUUUGUUUCCGUCGUUUUGAGGCCAGCUUGCUGGUACCCAAACGGUGUUAGCAUUUUUUGUCUUGGGCAUUUGAGUAUGGCUCACGUGUAUUUAUUGGACAGAUCUGAGUGUAAGUUACGGUCGCAUGCGACACGUGCUUUUCAAUUAGUUCGGUCCAGUUAAUGCUCUCGUACUCGUUCCCCAUGUAAAAGCCGGUCAUCUAUCCGACCCGUCUUGAAACACGGACCAAGGAGUUUAUCGUGUGCGCAAGUUUUUGGGUGUUAAAAACUUAAAAGCGAAAUGAAAGUAAAUGACUCUUUAGAGUCUGAUGUGCGAUCUUGUAAAAAAGUGUAGCAUGGCCCCAUUCUAACUGUUUACAGUAGGGUGGCGGAAGAGCGUACGCGGUGAGACCCGAAAGAUGGUGAACUAUUCCUGAGCAGGACGAAGCCAGAGGAAACUCUGGUGGAAGUCCGAAGCGGUUCUGACGU